CUCAGGGGGUGGGGUCCCUCAGCCUGGAUUGCGAGAAGGUGCAGGCCAGGCCGAAGGACCCCCACCAGUGCAGG
RNAcentral lists this microRNA precursor (74 nucleotides) under Myotis lucifugus (little brown bat). RNAcentral describes it as "mir-9193 microRNA precursor family". It matches the Rfam family "mir-9193 microRNA precursor family". The record is from Rfam by way of RNAcentral. Lineage: Eukaryota; Metazoa; Chordata; Mammalia; Chiroptera; Vespertilionidae.